This 1233-nucleotide ribosomal RNA is filed under the name metagenome. RNAcentral describes it as "bacterial SSU rRNA". It matches the Rfam family "Bacterial small subunit ribosomal RNA", at positions 135 to 1345 of the family's 1533-position model. The record is from RNAcentral.
AAUCGGGAAUAACCAUUCGAAAGGAUGGCUAAUGCCGGAUAAAGUCAGAAAAUCUUUGGAGUUUUUGAUGAAAGGGUGCCUCUGAUUAAAGCAUCUGUUUGAAGAUGAGUCAGCGCACCAUUAGUUUGUUGGUGGGGUAACGGCCUACCAAGACUGCGAUGGUUAGCUGGUCUGAGAGGAUGAUCAGCCACACUGGAACUGACACACGGUCCAGACUCCUACGGGAGGCAGCAGUGAGGAAUUUUGCGCAAUGGGGGAAACCCUGACGCAGCAACGCCGCGUGAGUGAAGAAGGCCCUUGGGUCGUAAAGCUCUGUCAAUGGGGAAGAAGUUAUUUAAUGUUAAUAGCAUUAUUUAUUGACGGUACCCAUGAAGGAAGCACCGGCUAACUCCGUGCCAGCAGCCGCGGUAAUACGGGGGGUGCAAGCGUUAUUCGGAAUUAUUGGGCGUAAAGGGCACGCAGGCGGUCCUGUCAGUCAGAUGUGAAAGCCCGGGGCUCAACCCCGGACGUGCAUUUGAAGCAGCAGGACUUGAGUACGGGAGAGGAAAGGGGAAUUCCUGUGUAGAGGUGAAAUUCGUAGAUAUCAGGAGGAACACCGGUGGCGAAGGCGCCUUUCUGGACCGAUACUGACGCUGAGGUGCGAAGGCGUGGGUAGCGAACGGGAUUAGAUACCCCGGUAGUCCACGCAGUAAACGUUGUAUGCUAGGUGUAGCGGGUAUUGACCCCUGCUGCGCCGCAGUUAACACAUUAAGCAUACCGCCUGGGGAGUACGGUCGCAAGACUAAAACUCAAAGAAAUUGACGGGGGCCCGCACAAGCGGUGGAGCAUGUGGUUUAAUUCGACGCAACGCGAAGAACCUUACCCAGACUUGACAUCUUGAGAAUCCUUUAGAAAUUUAGGAGUGCCUUCGGGAGCUCAAAGACAGGUGCUGCAUGGCUGUCGUCAGCUCGUGUCGUGAGAUGUUUGGUUAAGUCCAGCAACGAGCGCAACCCUUGUCUUCAGUUGCCAGCACAUAAUGGUGGGAACUCUGAAGAGACUGCCCCGGUUAACGGGGAGGAAGGUGAGGAUGACGUCAAGUCCUCAUGGCCCUUAUGUCUGGGGCUACGCACGUGCUACAAUGGUAUGUACAACGGGCAGCAAGCGUGCGAGCGCAAGCAAAUCCCUUAAAGCAUAUCCCAGUCCGGAUUGGAGUCUGCAACUCGACUCCAUGAAGUUGGAAUCGCUAGUAAUCGU